AACCGACACAGGUGGUCAGGUAGAGAAUACCAAGGCGCUUGAGAGAACUCGGGUGAAGGAACUAGGCAAAAUGGUGCCGUAACUUCGGGAGAAGGCACGCUGACACGUAGGUGAAGUGAUUUACUCAUGGAGCUGAAGUCAGUCGAAGAUACCAGCUGGCUGCAACUGUUUAUUAAAAACACAGCACUGUGCAAACACGAAAGUGGACGUAUACGGUGUGACGCCUGCCCGGUGCCGGAAGGUUAAUUG
This 249-nucleotide ribosomal RNA is filed under the name Salmonella enterica subsp. enterica serovar Anatum. RNAcentral describes it as "partial 23S ribosomal RNA". It matches the Rfam family "Bacterial large subunit ribosomal RNA", at positions 1652 to 1883 of the family's 2925-position model. Lineage: Bacteria; Pseudomonadati; Pseudomonadota; Gammaproteobacteria; Enterobacterales; Enterobacteriaceae. The record is from RNAcentral.